AAAAAAAAAAAAAAAAAAAACC
RNAcentral lists this ribosomal RNA (22 nucleotides) under Stereophaedusa una. RNAcentral's name for it is "Luchuphaedusa una partial 5.8S rRNA". Lineage: Eukaryota; Metazoa; Mollusca; Gastropoda; Stylommatophora; Clausiliidae. The record is from RNAcentral.